GCUCACCUAGCACGUGCGAGGCCCUGGGUUCGAUCCUCAGCACCACGUAAAAAUAGAUAAAUAAUAAUAAAAAAGAAAGAAAGAGAGCAGGACUGAGAGGAGAUACACACAAAAACAGUACAACUCAGCAUUAGGACAAAAUGCAAUUCAGAAAUGGGGGAUCUGAACAGACGUGUCACCAAAGGAGACUGGCAGAGGGCCAAAUGCACACCAAACACGGCAACCUCAACAGGCGUCAGGGAGACCAAGGCCAAAGCCGCACGGAGUUCUCCACAGCGCUCACCAGAAUGGCCCACCGAAAGUGAGGGUGUGUUCAGCAAAGGCACAGAGCCCCUGGGACCCCCGGGGGGAGGGCCUGCAAAGGGCACAUCCCUGGGGGAAGAGCUGGUGGCUCCCUUCCCUCUCUGUCCUUCUGUGGCACUGCACACUGAGCCACCGUGCUCUACCUCUGAGCUACACCCCCAGCCCACUUUAAAAAUUUUUGAGGGCUAGGGUUGUGACUCACCAGUAGAGCGCUUGCCUAGUGUGUGCACAGCCCUGGGUUCGAUCCUUAACAUCACAUAAAAAUAAAAUAGUUAUUGUGUCCAAC
Molecule: long non-coding RNA, 589 nt
Filed under: Marmota monax (woodchuck)
Lineage: Eukaryota; Metazoa; Chordata; Mammalia; Rodentia; Sciuridae
Source: RNAcentral